GCUGACUCUCUUUUCGGACUCAGCCCGCCUGCACCCAGGUGAAAUAAACAGCCAUGUUGCUCACACAAAGCCUGUUUGGUGGUCUCUUCACAGGGACACGGAUGAAAUUUGGUGCCGUGACUCGGAUCGGGGAACCUCCCUUAGGAGAUCAAUCCCCUGUACUCCUUUUCUUUGCCCUGUGAGAAAGAUCCACCUAUGACCUCAGGUCCUCAGACCGACCAGCCCAAGGAACAUCUCACCAAUUUUAAAUCAGAGACCUUGAAGAUUUGUUGUUCAAGGAGAAACUGAAGAGCAAGAAGGAAAGUGAGAGCCAGCAAUACCAGCAGAGCCAGAUCUGAGCUGGGAGAAGGGGAGAAAGUUUGUGAAGAGGAGAUCGGUGACCUGGGCUCCUUAUGUGCCUGAAAGAGUUUGAGUUUCCUGUUAACUCCAAAUCAACAGUAUUUUCAACAAGAAAUGUGCAAUUGAAAUCAAGUGCUGUUUAAGUGCAGCUAGGAUUUCCACAGGAAGACACUUGCAGUGAACAGAGUUAUGGAGCAGCAAAAACACAGAUCUAUUUGGAAAAAGAGAAAACAUAUGCGUUGUAUUUUGCUUCAAUUAUAAAAUACCAUCCUCUCAAAGGUGGUUCUAAAUUACAAAGGACUUUGAUUUCUAGGUAGAUUCUGGGUAGAGACUUCCUUUCAUAUUGAGGCAUUAAUGACACCUUUUAACCUGGGAAGCAAUAUGACUGGAGUUGUACUUUGAGAAGAUUAAUCAGGUUUGGUUGCAGAAUGAAAGAGAAGAUGAAGUCAAGAGAUUGGUUUAGAGGCUCUAGCAGAAGCUUAGUCAUAUUUCAAAAUGAUCAAAUAUCAAGAAAAAUUCUGAGCUGCAUAACUUGUAUAAAGUAAUUUUCAGUGAUUUUUUUCAUGGUUAUGAUAAAAGAACUGGAUUAGCAGAAACUUUUACCCUGAAUCAAGAUUUAAUUUUUCUUUGAGCUCAUCUUAAGGAUAUCGGAACAUAGGGAGCAAACGAUGGUGUGGCUGCCUCAGUGCUUGAUUUUUAACGGUUUUGAAGAGAAUAGUUACAUUUCUUCUCCUAGUAAGAACUAAUAAAUACAUUAACAGAAAUGAAUUCCCUAUCCCUUUGUACACUGGUCUAUUUCUUCAAAACAUUAAAUACUAUUGAUAAGAU
RNAcentral lists this long non-coding RNA (1167 nucleotides) under Homo sapiens (human). RNAcentral describes it as "HSALNT0395085". The record is from RNAcentral. Lineage: Eukaryota; Metazoa; Chordata; Mammalia; Primates; Hominidae.